AGGUCACCGCUAUUAGGAUACGAUUAAGCCAUGCGAGUCAAAGAAGCAAUUCUUGGCGCACCGCUCAGUAAUAUGUGGAUAAUCUACCCUUAGGUAUGGGAUAACCUUGGGAAACUGAGGAUAAACCCGUAUAGACAUAGAAUGCUGGAAUGCUUCUAUGUUAAAAGGCAACGCCUAAGGAUGAGUCUGCACCCUAUUAGGCUGUAGCAAGUGUAAUGCACUUGUUAACCUACGAUGGGUACGGGUCUUGAGAGAGAUUGCCCGGAGAUGGACUCUGAGACAUGAGUCCAGGUCCUACGGGGCGCAGCAGGCGCGAAAACUUCACAAUGUGCGCAAGCACGAUGAGGGAAUCCUAAGUGCCUAUGCUUUGCAUAGGCUGUUCCACUGUCUAGGGAGGGGGAGGAAGUAAGGGCUGGGUAAGACGGGUGCCAGCCGCCGCGGUAAUACCCGCAGCCCAAGUGGUGAUCGUUAUUAUUGGGUCUAAAACGUCCGUAGCUGGUCUGAUAAAUUCCUGGGUAAAUCGAAUUGCUUAACAAUUCGAAUUCUGGGGAGACUGCCAGACUUGGGACCGGGAGAGGUCAGAAGUACUUUUGGGGUAGGGGUAAAAUCCUGUAAUCCUAAAAGGACUAUCAGUGGCGAAGNCGUCUGACUAGAACGGAUCCGACAGUAAGGGACGAAGNCCUGGGGCGCAAACGGGAUUAGAUACCCCGGUAGUCCAGGGUGUAAACGCUGUAGNCUUGGUGUUGGAUGUCCUACAUGGGCAUCCAGUGCNGGAGAGNAGNUGUUAAGNCUACUACCUNNGGAGUACGGUCGCAAGACUGAAACUUAAAGGAAUUGGCGGGGGAGCACUGCAACGGGUGGAGCGUGCGGUUUAAUUGGAUUCAACGCCGGAAAACUCACCGGGAGCGACGGUUAUAUGAAGGCCAAGCUGAUGACUUUGCCUAAUUUUCCGAGAGGUGGUGCAUGGCCGUCGUCAGUUCGUACCGUAAGGCUUUCUGUUAAGUCAGAUAACGAACGAGACCCUUACCCUUAGUUACUAAUGGUUUUUCCGAAAAUCAAGGACUCUAAAGGGACCGCUGGCGCUAAGUCAGAGGAAGGGAGGGGCCACGGUAGGUCAGUACGCCCCGAAUCUCCCGGGCUACACGCGCGCUACAAAGGCUGGGACAAUGGGCUACAACCUCGAAAGAGGAAGUUAAUCCCGAAACCCAGUCAUAGUUCGGAUUGAGGGCUGCAACUCGUCCUCAUGAAGCUGGAAUCCGUAGUAAUCGCCUGUCAACGUCAGGCGGUGAAUAUGCCCCUGCUCCUUGCACACACCGCCCGUCAAACCAUCUGAGUUGGGGUUGAGUGAGGGUAAAGUUUUUGCUUUGCUCGAACUCGACUUCAGCAAGGAGGGUU
RNAcentral lists this ribosomal RNA (1395 nucleotides) under uncultured archaeon. Its description in RNAcentral is "bacterial SSU rRNA". It matches the Rfam family "Archaeal small subunit ribosomal RNA". The record is from RNAcentral.